RNAcentral lists this ribosomal RNA (253 nucleotides) under uncultured bacterium. Its description in RNAcentral is "partial 16S ribosomal RNA". It matches the Rfam family "Bacterial small subunit ribosomal RNA", at positions 524 to 776 of the family's 1533-position model. The record is from RNAcentral.
UACGUAGGGGGCAAGCGUUGUCCGGAUUUAUUGGGCGUAAAGAGCGUGUAGGCGGCCAUACAGGUCCGUUGUGAAAACUGGAGGCUCAACUUCCAGACGUCGACGGAAACCGUGUGGCUAGAGUCCGGAAGAGGAGAGUGGAAUUCCUGGUGUAGCGGUGAAAUGCGCAGAUAUCAGGAAGAACACCAAUGGCGAAGGCAGCUCUCUGGGACGGUACUGACGCUGAGACGCGAAAGCGUGGGGAGCGAACAGG